RNAcentral lists this long non-coding RNA (223 nucleotides) under Ananas comosus (pineapple). Its description in RNAcentral is "long non-coding RNA (ACOM_LNC012789)". The record is from RNAcentral. Lineage: Eukaryota; Viridiplantae; Streptophyta; Magnoliopsida; Poales; Bromeliaceae.
UACAUGCAAAGUUAGCAAAGAUGAUAAAGGUUUAGAAUGCACGAGUUAUAUUACUAAUAAAAUUAUUUUUUCGGAAUUCAUCCGUUCUAUCAACAGUUAAUAAAAAUAUUUGUUUACUAUUUUUUUUUUUUAAAUACGAUUGACUUGUUACUAAUGAUGUGAUACAAGUGUGACACAAUAACUUUUUUUCAAAAAUGUUUGGUGAGUCUAAUUUUGAAGUGAG